Molecule: ribosomal RNA, 373 nt
Filed under: uncultured organism
Description: partial 16S ribosomal RNA
Rfam family: Bacterial small subunit ribosomal RNA
Source: RNAcentral
GUAGGUGGCAAGCGUUGUCCGGAAUUAUUGGGCGUAAAGCGCGCGCAGGUGGUUCUUUAAGUCUGAUGUGAAAGCCCCCGGCUCAACCGGGGAGGGUCAUUGGAAACUGGGGAACUUGAGUGCAGGAGAGGAAAGUGGAAUUCCACGUGUAGCGGUGAAAUGCGUAGAUAUGUGGAGGAACACCAGUGGCGAAGGCGACUUUCUGGCCUGUAACUGACACUGAGGCGCGAAAGCGUGGGGAGCAAACAGGGAUUAGAUACCCUGGUAGUCCACGCCGUAAACGAUGAGUGCUAGGUGUUGGGGGGGUUUCCCGCCCCUCAGUGCUGCAGCUAACGCAUUAAGCACUCCGCCUGGGGAUACGGUCGCAAGACUG